This 251-nucleotide ribosomal RNA is filed under the name uncultured prokaryote. RNAcentral's name for it is "partial 16S rRNA". It matches the Rfam family "Bacterial small subunit ribosomal RNA", at positions 525 to 775 of the family's 1533-position model. The record is from RNAcentral.
ACAGAGGGGGCAAGUGUUAUUAGGAAUUAUUGGGCGUAAAGGGCGCGUAGGCGGUUCUUUAAGUGAGAUGUGCAAUCCCCGGGCUUAACCUGGGAACUGCAUCUCAUACUGGAGAGCUAGAGUGCUGGAGAGGGUGGUAGAAUUCCACGUGUAGCGGUGAAAUGCGUAGAGAUGUGGAGGAAUACCAGUGGCGAAGGCGGCCACCUGGACAGUAACUGACGCUGAGGCGCGAAAGUGUGGGUAGCAAACAG